AAGUGAGAGAGGAAUACAAAUGAAAAUGAAGAAAAUAACACUAGCUUUUCUUCUUCUAACUCUACUUCAUAUAUUUCUAUGUCUAUCUUUUCAGGUUUCUGUCACAGAGGCUCGAUUCCGUCACCUAGUUGGGGUAGGGGUACGCGCAUUCCCCUCCAUACCAUGUGGAGAUGCUCCUAGGGCAAGUCAUGUUACGCUUGCAGGGCAAUAUAAAAAGGCUUGUAAAAGAGCUAAAAGAGCUCCAAGAAGACCUCCUCUCGUGUAGGUUCGCGAUUAAUAUGAAUUAUCACAGUCACGUUCAACCCCCUCAUCGACACCAGCCAUCCACUCGCAACACAAUUACCUUUCACUAUGGUUUCCUAAGUUUCAAUAAUUCUAGCUCCAGUUUUUUUUUCUUGUUUUUUCUCCAUUUUUACCCUACUCCUCUCCUCUACUCUACUCUAUUACUUAAAGUGCUCCAUGUAAAAUGGGUGUUUGUUCUCACCAUCCUCUAGCACGAUAAUAAAUCUGUAUUUGCUUGGAUUAUCAUAUUUGACUUUUGCAUGAGUAUUCUUGUUUGAUCUAAUAAGGUUUUCUCUUUAA
Non-coding RNA from Camelina sativa (false flax), 582 nucleotides. NCBI's taxonomy places the organism in Eukaryota, Viridiplantae, Streptophyta, Magnoliopsida, Brassicales, Brassicaceae. The record is from RefSeq and is a predicted model, not a curated record.